This 3616-nucleotide long non-coding RNA is filed under the name Salmo salar (Atlantic salmon). RNAcentral describes it as "lncRNA (ENSSSAG00000107386.1)". The record is from RNAcentral. Lineage: Eukaryota; Metazoa; Chordata; Actinopteri; Salmoniformes; Salmonidae.
CAGAGCAUCUCUCUCUCUUUCCCUCUCCCCCACCCCACAUCUCCCCCCUCCAUCUGUGUAUAUAACAGUAUCUCCAUGCUUUCACACACACCACUCAGUUCAGCGUUGCAGAUGGGAUGGACACAGAGUGCAGGAGCAAACCACCAAAUAGUAAAUCAGUGUGACUGAGACACAUAAUACCACUCCUUCCCAGUGGCAGUGUCUAUGCAAAAUGGGUUGUGGCAAUUCCUCAGUCGCCAGCACCUCAGGAGGGGGACCUGCAGAAACCUCCAAAGAUUUAUGAGUCCUCACCAGACGAUGAGAAAAGAAGGAACUAUGGCGGGGUGUACGUAGGUCUACCAUCUGACAUGACCACCGUUGCAGGCAGCCAGUCCAAGUCCACAGACAAAAUACAGCCUCCAAUCGCUGUCCUUCGAUUAACCAUGGCUUUACAGUAAAAGAGACAACAUCAAGCAAAAAAGGAAAUACUGUACAUGAAAGUCCCUUGAAGACUACAUCUUUCUACCGAUGGACAGUUUUUGUUCUCCGUGUUCAAAGAAAACCCCCACGUCAUCUUCAAACAAAAACUAACAGAUAUAGAAGGGAAACAUUGACAUGCAUCACAGGACUAAAGCUACAAUAUUCAGAACAUACAGAGACAUUACAUUCCUACGUUGAGAGGAGGAUUACUGACUCAUCCUCACAACCCUGCCUCCGUAAGAGUGAAACAGACUGAAAGACCCUGGGGAAUCAGGCAGAUAUGAGGUCAGCCUGCUUGGGUCCUGAGGAAACUGCCUCAGAAUGGCACCGAGUAGACCCUCAAUAGAUGCCUUUGUCUGAGGAGUCUUUGCCCUUUCUGACCCUCACAGGAAGCCGGGCAGCAGCAGAGAAGUCGGGUGGGUACGGGACGACUGCGGAUAUUGGGACCAACAUUAUGGAAUCCGGGGAAAUGAUCUGGACUAGCUCCUUGUGUUUAGGAAGAGAUGUGACACACACAGCCCAGUCACACAGAGACACCUUCUCGACCGGCUCUGUAAACAUUUAAUCCAAGUGCAUAUAUUGUGGCUGGUGUAGAUAGAUGUUUUAUGUGGUGGGAGGGAUAGUGGACCCACACAGUGGCUCAAACACAAGCAGUGCUAUUCACUUUUAUGGAGUAUUUUAGGUCACCCAGUUUUCAUUUUCUUUUCAGUAUCAGAUACUGUAAAUAAUUUCAGAGAUUCAUGAAAACAACAUUCUAUAACCCAUUUGGAGAUUGUGUUGUGAUAUUUUCUAGUUGGUUGCUGCUAUUUCUUUUUAAACCAUUGCAUUUACUGUCUAAAUACAAAUUGACCUACUUUUGGUACCAAACGGAUGGGGGACCUCCUGUGGGUGUACUGGCUGGUACUGUAGCCUGACUGUACUGUAGCGAGCAUCUGUUGUGUGCGUCAUUCAUGUCUGAGAUUGUUAAGUGUUGUGUUGUGUUGUCAUUUAACCUGUGAAUCAUGCUAACAUGACAUCGUCAGUCUGUAUGGGGCUAAAGAUGCAUUGAGGAUACUACUCUUACAUUUCUUUACCCACAAAGGUCUGAACUGAUCUGAGAUCUGACGUCAUCAGAUUGUUAACAAUGCAUGCAUUAUUACUCCAGGUGCCAGCAGCUGAUCUCAGUGUUCCACAUACAGUAGCUCUUGUUGGCCAUUUUAGCAGCUGCAUCCAGAACUCGUUGUUUUUUACGAAGAGAUAAACUCUCCAACUGCAAUUUGUAAAAUGUUGUCUUUUCUAUUUGUAAAAUUCAAAAAUGAUUCCUUUUGAAAACGAAAUGUACAACUUUUAUUAUAACGGUUAAUUGGAAAGAUGAUCAGUCAAAAAGAAUCUGAACUACAUUGUUUAGCAUAGGUUUGCCUAAACAUAUUUGAAUCUAUAUUUCUCAUUAUGAUCAACUGUAUCAGUGAAUCUAGUUGGAAACCAUAACACAGGCAGCAUAUUCACACACCACAAUAUCUCCCCCAAAGCAUGAAUUAGAAGGGAAUAGAGAAUCCAUCCAAUGUCAUUUAUCUACAUGCAGUUCCUGUUCGUGAUUUAAUGAAUGUAUGAAUGUACAGCAUCUUCACCACCACGACCACAGAGGAACAGGGAAGUAGGCCAUGCUAACCAUAUGCUCACACACUUGAGAUUCAAGAGAUGUUUUAUUCUCUUCAAUACAUCAGUCCGAUUAUAUAUUCUCUACUCCACUCUACCUGGUUUGAGAUAAGAAUAUGGAAUAUACAUAAUAUUUAUAUGGAAUAUACAUAAUAUUUAUAUGGAAUAUAAAUGUAGAUUAUGAAUGCUCCCUGGCGUUCAACCAUCUACUCCGUAAUCUGUGCCAGGCCGCGUGUGAGGUUUAGAAAUGCGAUGGGUACCGAUUAAAGAGCACCCCACAGUUUCUGCUCUGCUACUACACGGCUACCACCGAAAAAUGAAUACAGCCCCUUUUCAUUGAUGUCUACAUUUCCUUUCUGUUGAGGCUCUUCCAGUUUCACCAUCAGAAUCCUCUGGCCUUUGGCUUUCACGGUGCACAGUGCAACGCAGUUCCCACUGGGCAAACACUAGUUGAAUCAACGUUGUUCCACGUCGUUGAAAUUAAUUGGACGUCUGUGCCCAGUGGGUCUGCCUUUUCAUCUGUUCUCUGCUCUAGCCAACUCCUCCACCCUUUACAGACAGUUGUACUGUAACACAAGGGUGAAUGUCACUGAGCUAAUCCUGCUUUAUUCAAUUAGGAAGACUGGGAGGGAAGAGGAUGAAAAAAGGGUAUUCAAAAGCCACACUGGGAAAGGAAAAGUUGCUACAGAAUAUCAACACAGGAGUUGAUAACCAAGCAUAGCUAGCUGUGUACAGAAUGAAUGUAGCUCUUAGGAGGAUGGAGAAAAGGUAUGGGAAAUUGUGUUAAAAAAGCAGCAUCCAUGGAACCCUGGUAUUUUUUACUGUAUUGGGGUUCCUUUAAGCAUUAAGGCAUGAGGGGGGGGCGGUAUAUUGGCCAUAUACCACAGUUACCUUAUUGCUAUUCUAAACUGGUUAUCAACAUAAUUAGAGCAGUAAAAAUAAAUGUUUUGUCAUACCCGUAGUAUACGGUCUGGUAUACCACUGCUGUCAGCCAAUCAGCAUUCAGGGCUCUAACCACCCAGUUUAUAUCAGCAUAUAGCUCAUGGAAGUCUCACUGGUAUACUGUUCAUGGUGCUGCACAUGAUUACGACGACAGGGGAAUUGAUUACUUUGGAGUCAUUUGAGGCUAAAGCAGCUGUGCUGGAGGCUUCUUAUUCUGGAUUUAUCUCCUUGUGUACAUGUGUCCAUAACACAUUUGGGAAAAGAGAAAACACAUGAGAAAACCACUGUAGAUGAUCACUUGAGAACCAAUUGAUGACUUUUUAUGCUAUUUACUACUGUAUGAGAUACUGUUCCUAAUCUUUGAUGCUCCUAACUUGUUCUGGGUCACUUUGUGUACAUACAGUACACCCUUAAACACAGUAAGAAGGAUCACAGCUGCUUUAGAGAGUCAUUCUUGUAUAUAACCCGACAUGCCCUGUAUUACUUGUCCUAUCACUGAUCUAUUUAUGAUUAAAGUAUUUUCUAUUGUCUGUGCACUGCUGUAGUUCUUGAUUGUGGUUUUUGUGAAAUGGAUUUGUGU